This 1887-nucleotide long non-coding RNA is filed under the name Equus caballus (horse). RNAcentral's name for it is "lncRNA (ENSECAG00000036838.3)". Lineage: Eukaryota; Metazoa; Chordata; Mammalia; Perissodactyla; Equidae. The record is from RNAcentral.
AGCUGGUGGAGUAGCAGUAGAAAUGGAGAAGAGAGGAUGUGUUCAAGGCCUUUUCUGAGAUAAAGUCAACAGAUCUUAAUCAACUGGAGGUGAUCAGUGGUGGCAUUGACUUCAAGAUUGGGUCCAAGUGGAACUUUGAAACCAUUUUCCUUGAACUAGAAAGGGAAUUAGCUGAGGAGCCCGACCCAACAAAGGUUUGGGGGCGACUGGGCCCCAAGGGCCGAGAGACAGGGGUGAGUUCCGGCAGAGGCUUUAGACGGGAAAGCAGGAGGGCCAGAGGGCGGGAAAAUCACGGAGCAUGCGCACAGCACGGCUUAAGCCUGCACAGCCCUUCUCGGUGGGCGGAGUCUGUGGUAAGAUGGCUUGAAGGACUUCCUUGGUUGAGCUCCAGGGGUGAGUGGGCUUCUGGUGUCCUACGCCAGGCCCCCAGGCCUCCUGUGGCUCACCCCACGCCGAUUCCACCCGCCAGGGCCAGGGACACAUUCGCUGAGGCGCCUGCCCCGACCGCCACCAGGAGAGUGGAAGGCUGGGCCUGGUUUGACGCUUUCGCGCCCGACCUUGACCUAAGCCGAGCCUGGCGUGGCGCCCUCUUGCCCAGUGUGGGCAGAAAGGAGCGCUGGAAGUGCCUUCCUUGAGGGUCAGGUCGCGCUCUGAAGAGGUCGGCAGUGACCCAGGUUUGCCCUCCAAUCAGUGGUCUGCCUUCAUUUUCCAGAUUGAUGAAGUCUGCCUCAGAGAAGGGAGCAGUUUAUUUAAUUUCAGGAGGACCUGGGGACCUCCUGUUCUGCCAUCUUGCUUCAUCACCAACACCCUUUUUCGAUCAACAUUUUGAGUAUGCUUUCCAGCUAUGUUUGGCCUCCAUGGUUUACGCCUCCUGGUACAUAGUUGUAUAUUUCAGUUGUGGGUCCUUCUAGUUGUCGCAUGUGGGACGCUGCCUCAACUUGGCCUGACGAGUGGUGCCAUGUCUGCGCCCAGGAUCUGAAUCGGCGAAACCCUGGACUGCUGCAGAGGAGUGCACGAACUUAAUUCUUCUGCCACAGGGCUGGGCCCUGAGUUAAUUUGUAUAUAGUGUAAGGUGCAAAGUUAGCCCUUUAUAGGUCUAAAUUUCCCUCUGAGCACUGCCUUCCCUGCAACCUUACACAGUUGUACAUUCUUCGCUGUGGGUCCCUCCAGCCGUGGCAUGUGGGACGCCGCCUCAGCAUGGUCCGAUGAGCAGUGCCAUGCCCGUGCCCAGGACCUGAACCAACGAAACACUAGGCCGCCUGCAGCGGAGCGUGCAAACUCAACCACUUGGCCACGGGGCCAGCCCCAGGAUACAGAAUUCUUGGUUGACAGUUUUUUACUUUCAGGACUUUAAAUAUGCCAGCCCACUGACUCAAGGUUUCCAUGGUUUCUGAUGAGAAAUCUGCUGUUAACCUUAUUAAUGAUCCUUGUGUGGAAUGAAUCAGUGAACUUGAAUCUGUAAAUUCAUCUUUCAUCAAAUUUGGGAUCUUUUUAGCCAUUAUUUUGUCAGUUAAAAAUUUUUUAAAAAAUAUACCAUUCUUUCAUCUCCUUGUGGGCCAUCCAUUUUAUGUUUGUUAAACUGACUGGUAUUGUGUUUCAGGGCUGUGAUGUUUAUUUUUCAAAAAAUCUUUUUUUCCUCUGUAUAUUUCAUUUUGGGUGACUUCUGUUGCUGUGUUUCAAGAUCAUUGAUCUUUUCUUCUGCAUUGUCUAGUUUGCAGUAAAUCCUAUCUGGUGUUUAUGGAUUUGAUAUUUUUUGUAGUUCCAUUGGAGUGCUUUUUUAUAACUCCUGUUUCUCUCCUCAUCUUGUUCAUGUUUCCCUUUAUAUCUUUGAUUAUAUUUAUAAGACUUUUUAUAUUCCUUAUAAGGUCCUUGUCUGCUAAUUUCAUC